Molecule: long non-coding RNA, 295 nt
Filed under: Lupinus angustifolius (narrow-leaved blue lupine)
Lineage: Eukaryota; Viridiplantae; Streptophyta; Magnoliopsida; Fabales; Fabaceae
Description: long non-coding RNA (LANG_LNC001822)
Source: RNAcentral
UGUGGUGCUACUCAUGAGUCUGGAAUUCAUGCUCUUAGAGACUUAGAGCAAUCUAGAAGAGUGUGGAAUUUACUUCAUUUUUCCGGUCAUCAACAAUUUUAAUCCUUGGAUUUAUAUGAUUGGCUAAGAUUUUUUAGCAAGGACAUCAAUGGCUCCAUGUUUUUUGUGGCUUGUUGGAGCAUUUGGAAGGCCAGGAAUGAGGAAAUUUUUACUUAUACUAGAUGUAAUGAUUAGUUGCUACUCAACCAUAUUCAUUCCUUGUAUGAUUUGAUUCUUCACUCAUUUGGUAAAGCAG